CUUCCGGGGGAGCGUACGACGUGACCGGACGCGACUGCGCGCACCGGGGGCGGGGCGGACCCGCGGGGCCCUAAACCCUCCGUUUCAUUGCGUCCCCGGGCACUUUGGGGUCAGGGGGCUGGACGUUCCAAUUAUUGCAUCUGGGACAAUUCAACUUCAGGCUGAGAUGCCUAGGAGGGCUUGUAGGGCAAGGGAGUUACCUGAUUGCACGAGUCACUCCAUCCUAAGAAUGUGGAAUGGUGUCUCACUGUGGUUUUGAUUUGCAUUUCCCUAAUGAUUAAUGAUGUAUAACUGUUACCAAACAGUGAUCCUGGUCUGGAUCACCUGGUGGAAGAACCAAGCGGCACUUGGAGAUCAUCGAAGGCAGAAGGUUUAUUUCACACAGCCAGGCUCAGAGGAGAUCACUCUCCAGAGGUCUGAGUCCUGAGCGCAAGCAUGGAGGAUAAUUUAUGAAACUUGAGUCAUCUAAAAGAAGCCCAAGGACCUGAUGAGAUCACCAACAACAGCUGUUCUUAUAUUUUUAGAAGUAUUUCAGAACUAAACGUAGAGGUCCAGGGCCAGUUCAAGUCCACGUCUUCAUUCUAUUUUCUGAUAAUCUUUGUUUUCAAAGUAGCAAAGGUUUUAUUUACAUUUUAAUUCAUCUUCCAGAGAAAGGAACUUACACUGUACAUGGAUACAUUUAGCCUGUCAUACAGUUCAUGGUAGGAAAAAUUGCUUUACUAACUACAUGAGUUGAAACACCUAUGCCUCAGGUGUAGACAGGUUACAGACCUGUCACUUGCAGCCCAAAGUCCUGAGGGUAAGAUAGUGAUUAUGCAGGACUGAAGUCAUCCUUAUAUUCAGAGUCAUUGAAAACCUGUCUAUUGAGGGCAGGGGCCAUACUCAAUACUGCAUACCCAACUGAGUGCAGUGUCUGUCUGGGACAUAAUAUGUACUUAGUAAAUAUUUGUUGAACAAAUGAAUAAAUGGCUUUAAUCAUUCUCAGCCAGCCUCCAACAUGACUAUACGCCCUUUAACUUCCAGUUCUGCAUUAUCUAUUCAGUCAGUCAAAAGGUAUUGAGUACUUUCAACAUACCAGACUGUUUUAGGUGCUGCAGACACAUAAGGGAAAAAAUUCAUUGAAUUCAUAUUCUAGUGGCAAGAGGCAGAAAUAAACAAGACAAAAAGUUAAAAUGGAAGAUGGUGAUAAGAGCCAGGGAAAAAAUAAGUCAAGAGCUGGAGAUAGGGAGUAUUGGAUUGAUUUACAUAUUAUGGGCAAAGUAACCAAGAACCACUUUAAUUGAUGAAACUAUUGUUAUCUCCAUUUCAUGUUUUCAGCCACUAAACUGGGAUCUUGAAUUUAAUAUUCUUUUUUAUUAUGCAGGCUUAUAAUCAAGUGUUUUUUACUAGAUACUGAGUACAUGUAUAAAUGCUGUAGAAUUUGUCAUCUAAGAACUUUAAUAGUUUUUUUUUAUUAUUAUUAUUAUUUGAGAGAGAGAGUGUGUGUGCAAGUGGAAGACAUGGGCAGAGGGAGGGAGAGAAUCUUAAUGCUCAGCAUGGGGCCAGACAAAGGGCUCAAUCCUACGACCCUGGGGUCAUAACCUGAGCUGAAAUCAAGAGUUAGACGCUCAACCCACUGAGCCACCCAGCCACCUUAAGAACUUUAAUUUUAAAUGCUGCCCCCUAAUAAUGGUGAAGGUUUUGUAGGGCACACCCGGUACACAUUAGAUGGAUUCCUGAUAUUGGGAUGGUGUUCAGAUUCAAGCUUUUGAAGCUCACAGUCUCAAACAGAUAAACAAGAUUCCCUUCCCUUCCUUCCUUCCUUCCUUCCUUCCUUCCUUCCUUCCUUCCUUCCUCUUGCUUUCCCAGUGGGUUUUACCAAGGAGAGAAGUUAAGUCUCCAGACCCUCAGGGACAGAUCUUGUGCCUAAGAAGGAGCUCUUCCAGUAAAAAGAUAUGACAGGCUGUCAAUUCAACUCUCCGGAUUUCAAUGACGUUACUUACCUAAGAACACAUUUGACAGUUCAUUUUCCUCUUGUUUAACCAAUGCGUCUAGAAACGGAUUUGGUACAAUGUUAUGACAUUUAAAUGUAUGUUGUCAAUUAUUGUUUGUUAAGUGCUAUGUAAUUAUUAGUGAUGUAGUUUGAUUUUAAAGAAAAUCUUCUCUUAUAAAUUUAUUAUUUCUAAGAAAAAAAUUCUUCUUUCUGAUUUUACUUCCCUCAGAUUAAAUGCCUUUUAGAGUAUUUAUGACAUAAUAAAAUGAGCAUUUUGAAUGCUUUAAAUCCCUAAUAAGUAAUACUUUAGAGGUCCCUUGCUAUUUCACUGUUAUUCUUGGGCUGAUCCACUGAUUUGCAAAUGUAACAUAUCAUUAUUAUUCAUUUUUCAUUCCUUCUGAGACUAAUACUAUUUGUGCCUCCUCUAAAAUAAAAACUCUAAAAUACUGUUCAGUUCUACACUAGGGAAAAUUUUUUAUUUUCUUAACUAAUGGCUCCAUAAGCGCAAUUUAUUUUGAUGAAGUCCUAUGAUAGGAGUUUUGGUAUUUAACAGAUUUUCUUUAUACCUUGUUGUCAUAUCUUGUAAGACACUUUUGUAAUACCUGGCUUUUUGCAGACUAAUUUUUUCAUUUUGCUGAUAUUGUAAAAAUUACAUAUUAUAAAACAAGUGUUUAGUAAGAGAUAUAAAAAUAUCACCUGGCAUUAAAGAGUUGUUUACUAAAAUCCAUUUAGAAAUAUUACCUUCCAAAGGGAACAGAGGGGUGAAAUAGAUAAAAGGAAUUAAGAGCGCGCUUACCUUGAUGAGCACCAAGUAAUAAAUAGAAUUGUUGAAUCACUAUACUGUACAUCUGAAACUAAUAUCACACUGUAUGUUAAUUAUACUUCAUUUAAAAAAAAGAAAAAAUAUGUUGCUUGCAAAAUGUACAUUCCGUGAGGGCAGGGAUCUUUACUUUGUUCACCUAUGUAACCCAAAUACUUAAAAGAGUGUUUAGCACAUAAAAGAUGCUCAAUAAUGGGCUGCCUGGGUGGCUCAGUUGGUUAAGUGUCUGACUUUGGCUUAGGUCAUGAUCUAGUGGUUUGUGAGUUUGAGCUUGCAUAGGGCUCUGUGCUGACAGCUCAGAGAUUGUAGCCUGCUUCAGAUUCUGUGUCUCCCUCUCUCUCUGCCCCUCCCCUGCUCUCUCUCUCUCUCUCUCUCUCAAAAUAAAUAAACAUAAAACAAACUAACUAAAAGAGAUGCUCAAUAAAUAUUGGUUGGGUAAAUUUUUGUAUGUAUUGUUUCCAAAAGUAAUAUGUUCAAAAAUUGCUUUCUUCUUGCUAUGGACUGAAUAGGUUUCCCACAAAACUCAUAUAUUGAAGCCCUAAUCCCCAGUAUCACUGUAUUUGGAAAUAGGAUUUUUAGGAUAUAAUUAAGGCUAAAUGAGGCUCAUAAGGGUAGGGUCCUAAUCUAAUAGGAUUGGAGACCUUAUAAAAUAGGAAGAGAGAUGUCUUACCCCUUUCUUCUUAGCUCAGAGGGCAUAUAAACCUCAGUUGCCUGGCGGGAAGCCUCAUGUGUUUCGAGUUCCUGUACAUACAAAUUAAUUUUUUUCUCUUGCUAAUCUAUUUUAUGUCAAUUUAAUUAUUAGACCAGCCAAAAAAACCUAUAAAGAAGAAGGAAAAAAUUUUCCUCUCCUACAAUUCUUAUAUGCUUACAAAGAAUUGCUCUAGGUUCUCAGUUCUAAAACCAAUAGAGCUGAUUCACAAACACUGGAAAUACUUGGAUGAUUGAUGGGGUUUAAUUACACCAUUAGAGCAAAAAGACAACUUGAAGCAAUAGUAGCUGAUGGCUGGUAGGCAACAGCUAGUCAGCGCAUGCAGCGGUCUGGGACAUGCUGAUUUAACAGGGUAGAAACCAGCAGGCACACUAUAUGCAGGGAGACAGGCACCGCUCCAAAGAGCAAAAACACUCUGGAAAGAUGGCAUCAGAAUCUGUGCUGUAAGGAUGAAAAGUUGCUGGGCAUCCAAGAGGCCCUUGUUCCCACAUGGCAGAAAUUUCAAGCAGCAGGGUUAUUUUUAGAUUAAAAAAAAAAAAAAAAGAAAAAAACCCUGAAAGGCAUAAAUUGCAUACACAUUUAUUUUUAUUUGCUGCCUAAUUAAUGAUAAAAAGUUUUUUCUUGAGACAAUGAAAGUUGAGGGUUUUGUUUAUUUGUUUUUAAAGAAAGUGGGGAAAGUGAGCAAUGUUUGACUAGGUGGACUGCUGAGUAGAACCAUGAUCUUCUACCCUCAUCACUUGUAGACUCACACUUUAUGAUCUUUAUCAACUUAACCUCAUUAUAACCUCUGCUACUCUGUAAAGUUACAAAUAGACCUGACAAUUGGCUUUAAAAAUAUUGCAGGUCACUCUAAGGCAAUUUGUCCUACAAACUAAAAGUUAGGAUUUAACAAAAUAGAAUAAUAUUGGCAAAACAUGGCCCCCCAUAUAAAAUUCCUAAACUUCACUCCUUCUCUUCUCUGUUCUUCCAUAUUUUUAUAUUCCUAUUUAAAUAAUGAACUGACAGGUGCUUGGGUGGCUCAGUCGGUUGGGUGUCUCACUUUGGCUUAGGUCAUGAUUUCAGAAUUUGUGAGUUUAAGCCCUGCGUCGGGCUCUGGGCAAACAGCUCAGAGCCAAGAGCCUGCUUUGGAUUCUGUGUCUCCCUCUCUCUCUGCCACCCCCCCCCCCUCUCAAAAAUAAAUAAACAUUAAAAAAAUUUUUUUUAAAUAACGAACUGAAAUGGUUCUUACUCCUUGUAAUCUUCCUUAACUGCCCAAGUCAGCAUUUUCCCUCUCUUGUCAGUGUUCCUAUGACACUCAGCUUACAAUUCUAUUAUAUUUAUUUAAUUCUGUCCUAACUCUACCAUAUUAUAAAAAAUACACUCUUACAAAAGUAACAAAUGACUUGUUUAUGACAAUACCCAAGGCCAUCUUCAAGCUUAUUUAACUGAAGGAUAAAUUGUUUCAAGACUUGAUCCUAUUUAUCACUUUGCUCUGUAUUUUUUAUUGUAGUUUUCUUUGCUCUCUGCCUAAUUUACCUGAUUAUAGUAUCCCACAAAUGAGUAUUUGUUAUAAAUGGUUCUGGGCACCAUUAUCUAUGCAUAUAUAGAUAUGCAUAGAAUUCAAAAUUCAAAGUUAGGAGUCUUGAGGUGUAAAAUUGCCCCUCGCUAAAAGAGGAAUAUAUAAAAUAAAGCACUGAAUGCCUACUAGAAUUUCAUAGUCUCCUAAAAGUGUAGCAACCAUAAAAUCAACAUCAGAUUCUAUAGGCACUGAAUUGUAAACAAAUAAUACUGGUCAGCAAACAGUUAUCUGAUCUGUAAGAGCAAAAGAAGAAAAACAAAGGCUUUGAAGGAAGUCAGCACUUGUAAAUACUUCUCAUCUGUGUGUAAUGUUAGUGAAACCAUAGAAGCUGCUUUUUCAUAUUGUAAGCAACAGUCUCUAACCCUGAGAGGCACAUUGACCCAAAAAGAUGAAAAAAAGAAAGAAGACCUAGAACAUUAUUCCAAUUGGCAUAGAUUUUGACUAAAGGGAAUCUUGAAAUAUGUUCUUAUUCUAUCACUAUGAAUAUCAUAGGUGGUGGUUUAUAUUUUGACACCAAUGGUAUCAUCUGGAAAUAUUGGUGCUCCAUGGCUGAAUAGUCUGUAUGUGAUUGCAUCUCAGUUUGCAGAAGUAGUAUGGUGACAGCUAACACAACACUAUGCGCUUUGCUAUUCUUUCAUCAAACCUUUAUGGUUUCUGUUCGAGGGGAAAUUUUCCUCUGUCCUUCUGAGUUUCUUUGGGCUGGUCUAAUAAUUCAAUUAACAUAAAACAGAUUGACAGGAGAAAAUCAAAUUUAAUUUUGUACCUUUCAGAACCCCACCUAUAUGAGACGUUCAAAGACAGAGAGGUAAAGUGAGGUAUGUGUGCCAUCCUGAGGUAAGCACUGGGAUAGGAGCCUGGGGCUUCAACGAGGGGAGGGGGAGGGCAGUCCACAGGCAAUAAGAAAAAGAUCUGAUGUUUGGUAAUUAGAUGUUUGCCCUGCCAUGCAGGUGGGGCACUCAGAUAAAAUUUAUCUCUGAUAAUAGCUCUUGUUCUGGGAAAGACACCCAGUUUAGAUUCUUCUAGGUAGUUAAGGGAGGAACAAAAGUUUCUCUUGAGCCUACAGAGUCUCAACUGCCUCCAGCUCAAAGUAGUCCAUAUGCCAAAAUAGCACUUUGGAGAGACUUUUUCUGAACAUUUCCAUUUCCUUUACAUUUUAAGUGUACCAGUUGCACAAGAUGCAAACAAAACGAUAAAUACACAUGCUCCUAGAAGGAGUAAUAGAAGUGAUUGUGCUUCUAGGAAUAAAGGAAAGGCUUAGAAAAGGAGCAGCCUGACCUAGUUUUAGGAAUGAUUAGUUUGCUAAAUAGGUGGGGAUGGGUGGGGAAAGAGAGGUUUCCCAGACAGAGGGAAUGAGUACGAAGGCCCCAGGCCCCGAGGUGUGAACAGAUAGGUAUGGUCAGAGAGAUCUAAGUAGAGAGAUUUUGCUGACGCACAAAGUUCACAGGAGAGAAUUUCAUUUAGGAGAACUUUGAAGAUGUAGGCAGGAGUCAAACAUUUCGUGUUUGGAAGCCAAGAAACUGGACUUUAUCCUGCUGGCUAGUGGCUCUCUUUAGUGUGUAUAAGAAUCACCUGGGGAGUUUGUUAAACCAUCCCACCCCUGAUUCAGGAAGUCAAGGUGAGAUCCAGAAAAAACGUUUUUAGCAAAAGUCCUCAGUGACAUUUUUGAAGGUAGUUUUUGUUCAUACCUUUAGAAAACAGCUAUAGUAAUUGAAAGAUGUUCGGGCAUUCUAACAAGGAGCACAACUUUCCUCAGGAUAGCUUGGGAUGAGAAAAAGAAGGAAAUUGGAUGCCCUUGAUUUGAUCUGACAGCACAUAUUUUUUGGUAAAACUCUUGGUCUGGGAUGAGGAGACCUAGAACCCUAGUUCAGCUCCCUUACUAUGUUUUCUCCGAGUAGUUAAUCUAAUUUAUCUGAUUCUCAUUUGCAUCUUUUGAUAAAGGGUAAUAUGGUGAAUCUUCCAAGUAAAUACAAACUAAAGCUAAAUACUUUUAAAAUGUUUAUGUUUUGGGGCGCCUGGGUGGCGCAGUCGGUUAAGCGUCCAACUUCAGCCAGGUCACGAUCUCGCGGUCCGUGAGUUCGAGCCCCGCGUCAGGCUCUGGGCUGAUGGCUCAGAGCCUGGAACCUGUUUCCGAAUCUGUGUCUCCCUCUCUCUCUGCCCCUCCCCCGUUCAUGCUCUGUCUCUCUCUGUCCCAAAAAUAAAUAAACGUUGAAAAAAAUAAAAUGUUUAUGUUUUAUGUAACUCUGAUCGAAGUUUUAUGGUUAUAAACUAUGCAAAUGUUACAGACCAAUGAAAUCAAGGAUAUGACUCAAAUUAGCAGUAUUAAUGGAUACCAGCUAACACUCAAGUUUAUGUUUUUGAAAACAUUAUGUCUUUCCUUUUACUCUUAAAUAUCAAUGUAGACUUUGAGAAAAGGAAUGCAUAAUUGCUUGUUCUAGUUAAAAAUCUAGGUAAGCUUUUCUCCUCAUUAAUCUCAUUAUCUGUGUUUAUUUAUAAAAGAUAUUUAUUUUAAUUAUUUAUGAUCUUUUUAAAUGCUCCAAUAGUUUCAGUGAAACAGCUCUUAAUGAUUUAUCAAUAAUGCACUGGCAUACUAAGAAUGUCUUCACGCCAUUAUCAAUAUUGCCUACUCUUUCUGAACCUUAGAUUCAUUUUAUAGAUUGCCUAGUAGUUUGUAGAACAAAGUUUGAUUUCCAGCCUUGUGAAUACCUAUGAAAAUCUGAAGAGACUGCUCUUUCAUGUCUGAAUAAAAAGCUAAAAA
Long non-coding RNA from Acinonyx jubatus (cheetah), 7814 nucleotides. RefSeq lists it as uncharacterized. The record is from RefSeq and is a predicted model, not a curated record. The transcript is spliced from 4 exons. Lineage: Eukaryota; Metazoa; Chordata; Mammalia; Carnivora; Felidae.